Molecule: transfer RNA, 73 nt
Filed under: Bifidobacteriaceae bacterium
Lineage: Bacteria; Bacillati; Actinomycetota; Actinomycetes; Bifidobacteriales; Bifidobacteriaceae
Description: tRNA-Arg
Rfam family: tRNA
About the family: Transfer RNA (tRNA) molecules are approximately 80 nucleotides in length. Their secondary structure includes four short double-helical elements and three loops (D, anti-codon, and T loops). Further hydrogen bonds mediate the characteristic L-shaped molecular structure. tRNAs have two regions of fundamental functional importance: the anti-codon, which is responsible for specific mRNA codon recognition, and the 3' end, to which the tRNAs corresponding amino acid is attached (by aminoacyl-tRNA synthetases). tRNAs cope with the degeneracy of the genetic code in two manners: having more than one tRNA (with a specific anti-codon) for a particular amino acid; and 'wobble' base-pairing, i.e. permitting non-standard base-pairing at the 3rd anti-codon position.
Source: RNAcentral
GCGCCAGUAGCUCAGUGGAUAGAGCACCGCUCUCCUAAAGCGGGUGUCGGGAGUUCGAAUCUCCCCUGGCGCA